AUCAUUUAGAGGAAGGAGAAGUCGUAACAAGGUUUCCGUAGGUGAACCUGCGGAAGGAUCAUUGUCGAAACCUGCCCGGCAGAGAGACCCGCGAAC
This 96-nucleotide ribosomal RNA is filed under the name Ficus concinna. RNAcentral's name for it is "partial 18S ribosomal RNA". The stretch from base 1 to 64 matches the Rfam family "Eukaryotic small subunit ribosomal RNA", at positions 1768 to 1831 of the family's 1831-position model. The record is from RNAcentral. Lineage: Eukaryota; Viridiplantae; Streptophyta; Magnoliopsida; Rosales; Moraceae.